AGUGAACGCUGGCGGUAGGCCUAACACAUGCAAGUCGAACGGCAGCACAGUAAGAGCUUGCUCUUACGGGUGGCGAGUGGCGGACGGGUGAGGAAUAAAUCGGAAUCUACUUUUUCGUGGGGGAUAACGUAGGGAAACUUACGCUAAUACCGCAUACGACCUACGGGUGAAAGCAGGGGAUCUUCGGCCCUUGCGCGAUUGAAUGAGCCGAUGUCGGAUUAGCUCGUUGGCGGGGUAAAGGCCCACCAAGGCGACGACCCGUAGCUGGUCUGAGAGGAUGAUCAGCCACACUGGAGCUGAGACACGGUCCAGACUCCUACGGGAGGCAGCAGUGGGGAAUAUUGGACAAUGGGCGCAAGCCUGAUCCAGACAUACCGCGUGGGUGAAGAAGGCCUUCGGGUUGUAAAGCCCUUUUGUUGGGAAAGAAAAGCAGCAGGUUAAUACCCCGCUGUUCUGACGGUACCCAAAGAAUAAGCACCGGCUAACUUCGUG
RNAcentral lists this ribosomal RNA (492 nucleotides) under uncultured bacterium. RNAcentral describes it as "partial 16S ribosomal RNA". It matches the Rfam family "Bacterial small subunit ribosomal RNA", at positions 29 to 507 of the family's 1533-position model. The record is from RNAcentral.